CUCUCACAGAGACCAGCAAUUAAGUAACUCCUAGGAAGACCAAGCCACGGAGUGCCAUUUCCCUCUUCACUUGACUCCUGGCUCCUCUGAGGUCCGGCUGGACAGAGGCUCCUCUGAUCACUCUGGGGUAACAGUCCUGCAGUCACUGGGUCCAAACCCGGUGGCACUCCACCCUGGUCACACUCUGCUUCAGCUUCUUGUGGAAUAAACCACAAAGUGCUGGGGGCAGGGGGUGUUGCCCUCUGGGCGGGUCUGGAGGAGACGGGGCACCCUGCACCAGCAUGAGGCCCAGCCUGGGCGCUGGCCAGAGUCCUGAGCAGGAAGGAAGAGGGUCACUGGACCCCGCAGGCCUCGUGCUGGAGAGGCCCAGCCGGCAGGGCUUACCUGGCCUCCACCAGGGGCCCCCUGACAGACUCGUGGAGGGGACCUGGGAGCCUUAAAGAAGGAUUGGGCGUGACGGCCCAAAGUGCCCAGGGUGGGCUGUGGGGGAGGUAGGACGCCAGGUCAGCAGGGAGCCCAGCGGGCUGGGAGGGAGGAUCAGACCAGAGAGCCCUCUGUGAACCAUUUUAGAACCCAAACAGGUAGCAAGAAGCCUCCUGACCUCAGCCUCAGCCCAUUGUGACGUCGCCAGCAGGGCUGGUUCCUCCACGGCCAGCGCCACCGCCCUCCGCCCUGGCCUCCUCCACCUCCCAGCCCACAGCCCAGCCCAGGCCCAUGCUUCUCUUCUCAGUUGUGCUGCUCAUCACCCACGCCACGGGGGCGGACCCAGGUAUGUGGGCUCCUCCCUGGGGCCA
RNAcentral lists this long non-coding RNA (794 nucleotides) under Marmota monax (woodchuck). The record is from RNAcentral. Lineage: Eukaryota; Metazoa; Chordata; Mammalia; Rodentia; Sciuridae.